UUAAAUUGAAGAGUUUGAUCAUGGCUCAGAUUGAACGCUGGCGGCAGGCCUAACACAUGCAAGUCGAACGGUAACAGGAAGCAGCUUGCUGCUUCGCUGACGAGUGGCGGACGGGUGAGUAAUGUCUGGGAAACUGCCUGAUGGAGGGGGAUAACUACUGGAAACGGUAGCUAAUACCGCAUAAUGUCGCAAGACCAAAGAGGGG
This 205-nucleotide ribosomal RNA is filed under the name Escherichia coli. RNAcentral's name for it is "partial 16S ribosomal RNA". It matches the Rfam family "Bacterial small subunit ribosomal RNA", at positions 1 to 211 of the family's 1533-position model. RNAcentral also lists the same sequence under 1 other name. The record is from RNAcentral. Lineage: Bacteria; Pseudomonadati; Pseudomonadota; Gammaproteobacteria; Enterobacterales; Enterobacteriaceae.